This 71-nucleotide transfer RNA is filed under the name Marmota monax (woodchuck). Its description in RNAcentral is "tRNA.Ala". Lineage: Eukaryota; Metazoa; Chordata; Mammalia; Rodentia; Sciuridae. The record is from RNAcentral.
GGGGUUGUGGCUCAGCGGUAGAGUGCUCACCUAGCAUGUGCAAGACCCUGGGUUCCAUCCUCAGCACCACA